This is a non-coding RNA of Pelodiscus sinensis (Chinese soft-shelled turtle), 302 nucleotides long. The record is from RefSeq and is a predicted model, not a curated record. Lineage: Eukaryota; Metazoa; Chordata; Testudines; Trionychidae.
GAGGAAGAGGUUCACUUCUCACUGCUGGCUGACCCUGCCAAAGGCCUUCUGAGAAAUCUGAGAGCCAGUGAAUCUAUGACACUGGGGAGUGUUUGUAAGCAGAGCCUAUAGAAGCAAGUGAUGUACAGUAAUUUUGAGAACCCUGAAGACUGGAUUUCUUUCAUCCAAAGUAUCAGUGCCAACUUCUUUAUAUCAUUCACCACCACAAAAGUGGACCUUGCACCUGAUGUUGAAGGACUGCUCCUAUGCAUGAGAGGGUGGUUCACUCUCCACAACCCAAUUGGUCAUUGACUUCUUUGCAA